Molecule: transfer RNA, 72 nt
Filed under: Planctomycetaceae bacterium
Lineage: Bacteria; Pseudomonadati; Planctomycetota; Planctomycetia; Planctomycetales; Planctomycetaceae
Description: tRNA-Lys
Rfam family: tRNA
About the family: Transfer RNA (tRNA) molecules are approximately 80 nucleotides in length. Their secondary structure includes four short double-helical elements and three loops (D, anti-codon, and T loops).
Source: RNAcentral
GGGGUCGUGGUGUAACGGCAGCACAGCGAGCUUUUAACUCGCACGGUGGGGGUUCGAAUCCCUCCGGCCUCA